GGGUUGUGAGGUUAAGCGACUAAGCGUACACGGUGGAUGCCCUGGCAGUCAGAGGCGAUGAAGGGCGUGCUAAUCUGCGAUAAGCGCCGGUAAGGUGAUAUGAACCGUUAUAACCGGCGAUACCCGAAUGGGGAAACCCAGUGUGAUUCGUCACACUAUCAUUAACUGAAUCCAUAGGUUAAUGAGGCGAACCGGGGGAACUGAAACAUCUAAGUACCCCGAGGAAAAGAAAUCAACCGAGAUUCCCCCAGUAGCGGCGAGCGAACGGGGAGGAGCCCAGAGCCUGAAUCAGCAUGUGUGUUAGUGGAAGCGUCUGGAAAGGCGCGCGAUACAGGGUGACAGCCCCGUACACAAAAGCGCAUGUGUUGUGAGCUCGAUGAGUAGGGCGGGACACGUGGUAUCCUGUCUGAAUAUGGGGGGACCAUCCUCCAAGGCUAAAUACUCCUGACUGACCGAUAGUGAACCAGUACCGUGAGGGAAAGGCGAAAAGAACCCCGGCGAGGGGAGUGAAAAAGAACCUGAAACCGUGUACGUACAAGCAGUGGGAGCACAGGUUUACCUGUGUGACUGCGUACCUUUUGUAUAAUGGGUCAGCGACUUAUAUUCUGUAGCAAGGUUAACCGUAUAGGGGAGCCGGAGGGAAACCGAGUCUUAACCGGGCGUUAAGUUGCAGGGUAUAGACCCGAAACCCGGUGAUCUAGCCAUGGGCAGGUUGAAGGUUGGGUAACACUAACUGGAGGACCGAACCGACUAAUGUUGAAAAAUUAGCGGAUGACCUGUGGCUGGGGGUGAAAGGCCAAUCAAACCGGGAGAUAGCUGGUUCUCCCCGAAAGCUAUUUAGGUAGCGCCUCGUGAAUUCAUCUCCGGGGGUAGAGCACUGUUUCGGCUAGGGGGCCAUCCCGGCUUACCAACCCGAUGCAAACUGCGAAUACCGGAGAAUGUUAUCACGGGAGACACACGGCGGGUGCUAACGUCCGUCGUGAAGAGGGAAACAACCCAGACCGCCAGCUAAGGUCCCAAAGUCAUGGUUAAGUGGGAAACGAUGUGGGAAGGCCCAGACAGCCAGGAUGUUGGCUUAGAAGCAGCCAUCAUUUAAAGAAAGCGUAAUAGCUCACUGGUCGAGUCGGCCUGCGCGGAAGAUGUAACGGGGCUAAACCAU
This 1159-nucleotide ribosomal RNA is filed under the name Salmonella enterica subsp. enterica. RNAcentral's name for it is "partial 23S ribosomal RNA". It matches the Rfam family "Bacterial large subunit ribosomal RNA", at positions 1 to 1190 of the family's 2925-position model. The record is from RNAcentral. Lineage: Bacteria; Pseudomonadati; Pseudomonadota; Gammaproteobacteria; Enterobacterales; Enterobacteriaceae.